Molecule: ribosomal RNA, 253 nt
Filed under: uncultured bacterium
Lineage: Bacteria
Description: partial 16S ribosomal RNA
Rfam family: Bacterial small subunit ribosomal RNA
Source: RNAcentral
GACGGAGGGUGCAAGCGUUAUUCGGAAUCAUUGGGCGUAAAGGGCGUGUAGGCGGCCGGUUAAGUCAGGCGUGAAAGCCCAGGGCUCAACCCUGGAAGUGCGCUUGAAACUGAUCGUCUUGAGUCCGGGAGAGGGAAGCGGAAUUCCUGGUGUAGAGGUGAAAUUCGUAGAUAUCAGGAGGAACACAGGUGGCGAAGGCGGCUUCCUGGACCGAGGCUGACGCUGAGACGCGAAAGCGUGGGGAGCAAACAGG